GCAGGGUUAAACGUUAAAGUAUGUUCGUGCAUUGAAUGGUUGUUUGGUCAUUCCUCUACUCAGAAAUGACCAAUUUAACAAGUCAAAGAGAGGAUUCAAUGAGCUGAAAAAAGGAAAAUAAAAAUCUACAGCCGCAUGUCAGAAGUAGGAGUUGAUUCCAGAAUUUCUGCGCUGACUUCUCCUUGUUCCUGGCUCCAUUAACUGGCAAUCCCCCAUAUGAACAUUUUACAUUAAAGACUUCUAAGCACUCUCCCACAAAUGAUGUGAAAUAAGCACCAGUAAAUUAAGUAAAACCAAUAGCAACUGAAAAUAAAACUAAU
RNAcentral lists this unclassified non-coding RNA (320 nucleotides) under Hevea brasiliensis (rubber tree). The record is from RNAcentral. Lineage: Eukaryota; Viridiplantae; Streptophyta; Magnoliopsida; Malpighiales; Euphorbiaceae.